UUUUUGCAUCCUGGUGCAUGGUUGGCCAGAAGUACUCUUGACGGAGUGCCUUGAAGGCUAAAGUUCUUGCUCCCGAGUGAUUGCCGCAAAUUCCUUCAUGAAUCUCCCUUAGUAUAUAAUCGCCUCCUCAUCAUCCACACAUCGCAAAAGGGGCAAGGUGAACCCUCGGCGAUACAGCACUUCAUCUAGUAGCGUGUACCUCGCUGCUCGGCAUUUUAACUUUCUCGCUUGCCUUUUGUCCUUAGGCAAAACUCCGUCGCGGACAUACGCGCGAAUCGGGCCCAUCUAGGAUUCUCCAGUGCUUACUCUCAUCAUCUCCACUUCCUCCCCUAUGCUCGGCGAGGUCCUUACCUCUAGUGGGACCGACUUAGGUAAUUUCGGGUCUGCAAUUGCAGCCAUCCUAGCCCAGAUAUUCCUUCAGCUGCCCAAAUGCUUCCUCGUACUCUGAUGUCCAUUCCAUCUUUCUCCCUUUCUUUAUAAUUUGGAAGAAAGGGUGGCAUUUAUCUGUGGCCCGCGAGAUGCAUAUCCGCUCGGUAAUUCUUAUUCCGGGAUAUCUGCUUUACCUCCACCUCUUGGAAAAGUCCGACCAUCUGCUUCGCCUUCUUCAAAUAAAGGCCCAUCUUCUCUCCCCUUGCUUGGAACUGAUCAUUGAGCUGAUUACAUACCAAUUGGGAAUCUGCUCGGAUUUCUACCCUCUUUGCUUAUGAUCCAUCGGCUCUUUGGACUUUGUAAUCAUAUCAUCCACAUAUACCUAUGCUCUAACUGUUGCUCCUCCUGAUCUCCUUCCACUGGUUCAGCUCGGUCUACCAUAAAUUCUACCAGGGCUUGGGCCUUGAUUGCUCCUUGGGGCCUGUAGGACAGGUCAAAUUCGCUCAGCUCCACAGACCAUUUUACUAACCGACCAGACGCAUCUGGUUUUUGAAGCACUUACCGAAGAGGCUGGUCAGUCAUCACAACGAUCUGGUGGGCUUGGAAAUAUGGUCGGAGUUUGCGUGUUACCGUUAUCAGAGCCAGCGCCCACUUCUCCAUUAGUUUGAUCUAUUUUGGGUAGGGAAAAGCUGUCCUUUGGGCAUGCCUUAUUGAGGUCCGUGAAGUCCACACACAUUCUCCACUUUCCGUUGGCCUUUUUUACCAGGACUACAUUUGAAAUCCAUUCUGGGUACUUGGCUUCCCUUAUAAAUCCUGCUUUCAACAGCUUCUCCACCUCGGCGUUUAUGGCCUCGUACCUUUCCUGGUUGAAGCAUCUCCUCUUCUGUCUCACCGGCCUUGCCCCCUUCUUGAUUGCCAACUUGUGGCAAGCUACCCUGCGAUCGAUUCCGGGCAUAUCUUCAUGAGACCAGGCGAAUAUAUCCGCAUGAGACUGUAGGUAAUUUAUCAGCUCGCCUUUUACUGCCCCAACCAAUCCUGACCCGAUCUUCACUACUCUGCUCGGGUUGCUUUUGCUUACCGCAACUUCCUCCAGUUUCUCAACAGGCUCUUGGCGGCCCUUUUUAAAGUCUCCUCGAUUAUCUAGAGAGGUAACCUGCAGUGUCUCCUUGGCCGCUGUAGCAUAACAACUCCUUGCCAUCCUCUGGUCGCCUUUUACUACGCCNNNNNNNNNNNNNNNNNNNNNNNNNNNNNNNNNNNNNNNNNNNNNNNNNNNNNNNNNNNNNNNNNNNNNNNNNNNNNNNNNNNNNNNNNNNNNNNNNNNNNNNNNNNNNNNNNNNNNNNNNNNNNNNNNNNNNNNNNNNNNNNNNNNNNNNNNNNNNNNNNNNNNNNNNNNNNNNNNNNNNNNNNNNNNNNNNNNNNNNNNNNNNNNNNNNNNNNNNNNNNNNNNNNNNNNCCACCAUUGCCUUGAUCACCAAUGCAUCCUCAUGCGGAUAUAAGAUACCCUCUUCAUCGUCAUCUGUCCACAUAAUGGGAACUUGCCGCACUUUUGCCUUCUUGGUUGCCGGCAAAUUGAAAAGCACUUCUUUGCUAGUCAGGGCAUAUCACCCAUAGUUCUUUCGUGCUCUGUUCGAAUCCCCAGCCAAUGUUGGCCCCCCUGCUAUUACACGGAUAGUCGGCUGUUCAUGUUCCAGGCCCAUCUCAGCCCCUUCAUCCCGCGUAUACUGUGAUUCAGUGACGGGGGACAUUCCAUCUACAUAUUCGUCCAAAUAACGGUUUCUCACCAAAUCCUCCACCUGAAUUUUCAGGUCACGACAUUGGCUGAUAGUGUGACCAUGAGUGUCGUGGAAUUUGCAGAAUUUGCUCUUAUCCCGUCGGUGAGCCGGUUUUGUUAUAGGGGCUGGAGGGUAUAACAAGCCUCGUCCCUCGAUCCUCUCAUACAAUUCCUCCAUGGAGAUCUUUAAUGGAGUGUACUGUCUAUACGCUUUUUACUGCCCCAACCAAUCCUGACCCGAUCUUUACUACUCUGCUCGGGUUGCUUUUGCUUACCGCAACUUCUUCCAGUUUCUCAACAGGCUCUUGGCGGCCCUUUUUGGACUCUCCUCGAUUAUCUAGAGAAGUAACCUGUAGUGUCUCCUUGGCCGCUGUAGCAUAACAGCUCCUUGCCAUCCUCUGGUUGCCUUUUACUACGCCAACCACCCCAUUUACUCUGUAUUUCAGUGCCAAGUAAUGCGUGGAUACAACGCAUUGACUUAUCCUCAUGAAUGGUCUCCCCAGUAUCAUCUGGUAAGGGCUUCUUUCUUCUACCACAACAAAAUCCAACAUCAUUGUUCUUUCAAAUGGCUUCGUCCCCAUAGUAAUUGGGAGUUCGAUGAUCCCCAUGGGAGUUAACCGUCCCCCUCCAAAUCCCUUUAAGGAUGUAUUUGUCCGCUCCAACUUUAAAUCUGAAAUCCCCAUAUCAUCCAGGGCUGACUUAAAUAGAAUGUCAACUGAACUGCCCGUGUCCACUAGUAUUCGCCGCAAUUCUGUGCUAGCCACCACUGCUUUAAUCACCAAUGCAUCCUCAUGAGGAUACAAAAUACCCUCCUCGUCAUCCUCCGUCCACAUAAUGGGAACUUGCCGUACCUUCGCCUUCUUGGCUGCUGGCAAAUUUAGAAGCACCUCUUUGCCAGUUAUGGCGUAUCUCCCAUAGUUCUUCCGUGCUCUGUUCGAAUCCCCAGCCAAUGUUGGCCCCCCAGCUAUCACAUGGAUGGUCGGCUGUUCACCUCCCAGACCCCUCUGAACUUCUUCAUCCCGUGUAUACUGUGAUUCGAUGAUCGGGGACACCCCCUCUACAUACUCAUCCAAGUACCGGUUCCGUACUAAGUCCUCCACCUGAAUCUUUAGGUCACGACAUUGGUCGAUUGUGUGACCAUGAGUGUCGUGAAACUUGCAGAAUAUGUUCUUAUCCCGUCGAUGAGCCGGUUUUGUUAUAGGGGCUGGAGGGUACAGCAGGCCUCGUCCUUCGAUCCUCUCAUACAGUUCCUCCAUGGAGAUCUUCAAUGGAGUGUACUGUCUAUAUGUCAAGCUCUGGUCUAUCAGUUGAACUGCUCGGCUAUCCUGAAUGUCAUCUCGGGCUGGUAUAGUCGCUAGCUGGUCUGGUCUUCCUGCCUUGGAACCACUUGUAUGUAACGGUCUGGGAGCGUUGUGAUAAGGGCGGGCAGCCAUCUGCCUGAAUUCUCGUUGCCGCUCCGGGAAUGAAGUACGCGGAGGUUGGGCCCGGCUGUGUUGGAACUGUUGCGGUCUCAAAGCUACAGGGUAAGGGCGGGACCGAGCUGAUAUUCCGCCCAUAGCUGAGGAUUCCCCAGCUCGCUUUCCUGAUCCGCUCCCACUCGGGGUUCUCCUUUCCUUUCUUCUCAGCUCUUCCAGCUGUUCACUUUUUAUCCUCGCCGACUUUUCCUCUUCGAUUUCAAUGUCUCUCUUUGCCUGCUCAUACCCCGCUGCUGUACGGCCAAGGCGGAUGUACGGUACAGCAGAAACUUUUGAAUCGACAAGGACUGAGAAAAAAAGAUUUUUUCCAUUGUACGGAUACAGCUGUUGUUAUGUACACUAGCCAUGAAUUCGUGCUUUCUUUUCUGCAACCAUUUAAAUGGAUUAUGAUUGGACAAUUUAUUCCUUUUUAUCCCUACUUUAUUUUCAUUUCGUUUUUUCUCUUUUUUUCCCUUCAUUUAUUAAAUUUUUUUUUUUGUGCUCCCUUUCUUUUGCAUAAUAUUACUGUUUUGGAAUACCGGUAAUUGGUAGCCAGGUGAAGCGGCAAGGACUGAGAAUAUCUCCUUACGAAAGGUACGUGACACUGUUCUUAUGGAUUAACUAGUAUUAUUAUUCUUUAGUCAAUUAGAGAUGAAUCUACAAUUUUUUAUGUGUUUUAUAGUGUUAUGCAUGGAUACUUACAAUAAGACAUGAAGCUUAAUUUGGGAUAUAACAUGUGAUUCCUGUAGGCAAUAAGAGAAAAUUUAUGAUUCUACUCUCUUCACUUGCAUUUACAACUUCAUUUCAUAGAAAGCUUGAUAAUAUUAACUGAUUGUGUAAAGCGUUAAUGGCCUAAUAUAAUUUAUAAUUCCAUUCUUUGUCACUUGUUAGUGUCUAGCUAGCUACCCGCAAGAUUAAUUGACUGAUUAAUUUCGAUUUACCCUCCAAUAAACUGAUUAUCUUCAACAUAUAUUCUAAGCUAUUAUCUACCUCGGCUCACUCUUGAUUACUCUUCCCAAGGAUAAUGCCAUAAAGGUGCAGCUUUCAUCUUGGAACAAAAUGUUUUUAUUUAACUCAUCAAGAAGCUUGACUAAGCCAAAUUCUACUUUCUCUUCAUCUUCGUGCUUAUUGCUUACCAGAGAGCUAGCCAAUUCGGGUAUGAGCAUUAACUAAUUAAUAUCGUAUAUUUACAUUUGUUUAUUUAUUUAUGCCUUAUUACCCAUUCAUUAAUUGACUAGUAUAUAUAGUCAUCUACAUUGCACAAUUUUUCACGAAGACAAAUAAAAAUUUUCUCUCUUCAGAAUAGUUGGGAUCCGCAUAAUUUUUAAAUAAUACAUAUCGUUUCCACAUUUCCACGUGUAGUGGCUUAGCUACUAAUAAUAGUUCUAAUAUUUGAGACGCGGAGGUUGAGCCCGGUUGUGCUGGAACUGCUGUGAUCUCGGAGCUAUAGAGUAAGGGCGGGACCGAGCCGAUAUUCCGCCCAUCACUGAAGAUUCUCCAGCUCGUUUUCCCGACCUGUUCCCCGUCGGGGCCCUCCGUUCCUUCGCCUCAGCUCGUCCAGCUGUUCACUUUUUAUUCUUGCCGAGAGUAAGGGCGGGACCGAGCCGAUAUUCCGCCCAUCACUGAAGCUAGCACGGCUCGGUGAUAUCGUUUUACAAAAUCUCGAAGGGACUCAUGCUCCUCUUGUUUCAUCCCCAUCAGUUCCAUCAUGUCGUCCUCUGGGGCCACUGCCCCUCGGAACUGCUCGGCCAACUCCUGGCACAUCUGCUCAUACCCCUUUAUACUUCCUCGGGGCAGCUUGCGGUACCAUUCUCGGGCUCGUCCCUCUAAUGUCAACGGGAACACCCUGCACCUCUGAGCUGGUGUCAGCCCCUACACACUCGUCAUGUCGUUGAAACGCUCAAUGUGUACCAGCGGGUCACUUCGCCCGGAGUAUUUGAGGUCGGGGAAGCGGAAAUCUCUUGGGAUUAUGGUGCCCAUGAUCUCAGUUGAUAGUGGAGAUUCUUCAUCUAGCAUUAUCCUCCAGCUUGGGGGUUUCCUCUUACCCUGUAUCUCCUCUAUCACUUGCGCUAAUCUGCGCACCUCUCCUUCCAAUUCUACAGCACGGUCAGGGUCACAUGCAGCCAUAUGAUCUCGCUCCUGCUCGACAUUCUGCAACCGCUGUCUUAACUCUCCUUCAUCAGCACUGGUCCCUCGGCCAUCAGCCUCCGGUACUCGCCUGGGGCGAGGUUGGUUCCUCCCUUCAUCUACUUGCUCUCCAGGAACCCGACCAGUGCUCCUGUAGGGAUGCACCCCAUAAGGUUGGUCCGCCAGCGGAGGGAUUUCCUCGACUCUACACCUCCGGAGGUUGAGUUCUGCUCCAACAUCAUCUCUCCCCCCGGGGAUUUCGCAAUCCCUUCUCCGCUCAUCUCUCAGCUCAUUCAGUAUGGUAGCGAGAGUCUCCAUUUGCUUCUCCAUCCGUUCCAAUCGAUCUUGCAUCACCCUCUCUCGGGCUUCAUUUGCAAUUUCCCGAAGGGUGAUUGUCUCCCCCGAUUCGUUAUCCUCCCUCAAAGCGUCCUUCCUUGGCAAAUCCAUGUCUAAUCGUUCGCUGUUUCUCCGGUAACUACUAAUUCAGUGGUAACUUUUUAUCCAGAUCCCCACAGACGGCGCCAAAAUGUUGAUGCUAAAAUCUGCUCGCCCUUGGACCGACCAGAUUCUUUCACCAACGUUUGUAUUAUCGACUGUUUGUUCGAACCACUAAGGCUGGUAUCACCCUCCUUUCUCUCACUAGACCUGCGUUCACAAAAAUGGGUCAGAGACGCCGGUGGUUUUGCCGGCGUAAACCCUCUGAUGCCUAAGUUAGCACAAGGUAUUUACGGGAAAACAAUGUAAUUUGGAUUCAAGAAGUUUGUUAGAAAUUUGUAAGGAAAUGGCCUGGUUGCAAUUUGACAGCGUUUUCCCUCUCUCCAAUUUUUCUCUCCCUUUCUUCAUCGAUUUCUUCUUCUUUUAUAGCCGCUGUCCCCACGUUUCCGUUUGCCAUUCAUCCCACAUUUUUCGGGUAGUGGCAGCCCCUCAUAAGACUCUAACUGUUACAUUGUGGGCAAACGUGGAUCUCGCGUGUCCUUCAACGGUUCUGGGAAAAGCACAACUACCGCGAUUCUGUGGGAUCGUGUUCCCGCUUCUCUGGGGAUGAGUGUCGGCUCGGUAUAUACCUCUGGUCGGUAUGUUUCCCUGGUUGUAUUCAUCUCUGGUCGGCUCAUGUUAGCCCACGUGUUCUGCUCAUAUCACUUUGGCUGAAGCGAUCCGUGCCGGGGCGGAAAUAGUAGCAUGGCCGACCUGGUGCUUUUAUGUACUCAACAUAAUUAAUAAAUAAAAUUAAGCAAAGUAAAUUCUAAAAAUUCCAGACAUUUAACAUUCUACAAAAUAAAAAUAAUCCGAACCAUAUUCUAAAAUUAAAAUAUACAGUUAUCCAAACACUGAAUUAUAAAUUCUUAAGUGAUUUCUUUAAUACUCUUCAUCUUGUCUUUGUCACCCUGAAAACAAGAAUCCUACACAUAAAAAGUAAAUAAAAUUAGUUAACAAGAUAAAUUAAAAAUUAAACUUAAAUAAUUGAAAAAAAAUUACUUAGCUCUGUCUAGAAAAUUAAAAUGCAGCAAUGGACGUCAAAUGCUCAUGAACAAUCAUAUGCCACAAAAUACAAUCUCAGUUCUUUGACAUCAAAUAUGUUUGUCCUGAAUCUUGACAAAUGUGUAUCGAUUUUUAUGUAUUUGAAUUAAUACACAGAUUUCGCAAAACUAAAAUGAAACACAAUAUCUAUUUUUAUAUAUGAAUAUGGAAAUUAGAGAUUGGAAUUUUGCAAAUGUAAAGAGUUUCGAAGAGGGAUUAUGGAGCAAUUUGAGAUAUAUAACAAAGCAAUUAAUUAUCAAAAAGGGAAAAUUGAAAACACCCUAAUUAUUUUAAAACCAAUUGUAAAAUGCUUCAAAGCACCGGUCGUGCAUGCGGAUGCCACAAAUAAUGGGUCAAAUCAUGUGCAGAAGUAGAACAUGCAUGCUUGAGAAUUUUAGAUAACUGCAUAUUUCAAAUGCAAGAGAUAUAAAAAGGCACAUCAUUCGAUCGACAAAAAUAAACGCAAGCUAUCCUAGACUAAACAUAGCAAAAGAUUGAAAGCCUUCUGUAUCUAAUCACUCUCUCUGAUUAAUACAAAUGAGACAACAAAUUGAAUAAGAAAUAUCAAAAUAGAGCAAAAAUAAAAAUGCAAUAAGCUCUACAUCCUAAUCUGGAACUGAUCAUUAAUUUUUAGAAUUUAUAAUCACCAACAAAAAAAAUAAAAAAUAAAUCCAUAGUUCAAAAAUUAAAAAAAAAAAGGAUAGGAGCUUACCGUGAGUUAAUUGAGAGCGAGAUGGUGGAGACAAACGAAAUGGUUGCUAGCUAGCUAAGUUGUAGAGAAAACAAAACAAAAUUGUAGUCGGCUGUAGAGGGCAGAUAUGAAGGGAAGAGAGGGCUAAGAGAAGGGAAAGAAAGAGUGGGAUCGGAAAUGAUGAAGAACAAAAAUUAGGACCGGCUAUGCCCUAGUUUUUGUUCCACUUAUAUACUUUGUAUUAUUAUAGUUUUAAAUUAUUAUAUUAACCUGCAAGUUUCAAAAUUUUUUAGAUAAGUUUAAAGAUAAAAGUAUAAUUUAAUUAAACGAAUUUUAAACGAAUGAAUCGUAUUCAAUUUGUUUAUGACCCACUUAUUAAACGAAUCCUAAAUGAAUAAACGAAUCAAUGUCUUGAAACCCAGAUUCGAUUCGUUUAAUUAGCAAAACGAAUUGAAUUCACUCAUUUAUUAAGCGAAUUAAUUUUUUCAAAUCCAAACCUAUUUAAUUUGCAUCGAUUUGAAUCGAAUAAACGAAUCCUGACCCAGAUUGUUACUCCUAGUUUUGGAGAAUGUCUUUGUUCAGUAAAAAUUGCUCCGAAUGUCAUAAUUGUUUAUUUUAUAAAUGUUUAUGUUUGAAGUAGCACUGCGUCGAGGACAAAACAAAGUGGGCUAGAAAAAGUGCAAAAUAUAACGCAAAUCACCAAUGAACGAAAUUAAAUUUAUCCAUGCAAUGACUUUAAUAUAUAAAUCUUAGAUAUAAAAUUAUAAGAAUUGCAGAGCUUUAAAGCUCAAUGUUGCCGAUUUUACACACUAUUGGCAACUCUGUUGACCAAUUAUGAUAGUAUAUUGUGGGAAAAUAAAACCACUUUGAUGCAAUAUAAUCUUGAUCAUCUUUGCUCACGUUAUUAUAAUUUUCUUCUCACACAGGGAUUCCAAGGUGGAUAUGGAUUGAACAAUUUUUUGUAAAUGUAAUCAUUCUGCUUUGAAAAAUGACCCACUGAAAUGGAAUAAAAUGGAAAUUGACCAUAAUAGGUCAAUGCAAAAAAUAGUGCAUCCACACUUGAAUUGCAGAACUUUAUUGACUCCACAAAGACUGAUGUUUACUUCCAAUAUUCUUCUUGGAAAAUUUUAGCAUGUACCUACUCGCAUUCAUAUUUUCCAAGCAUAAAAAUUCCUGGAGUGAAGGACACGCAAAAUGUUCAUUCAAUAAAAUCACAGAGUCUUCAUUAAAUGCUCCGAACUUGCCCCACAGAAGAUGUGGACGUGGCGAAAUUCCACGUUUACAUGCACUGCACAUUUGCCAUAUCGGUGUCUUUCAUUAAUUCACGGAAUUGUGAGGUCAAUAACAAAACAGUCAGUGUUAGGAUUUUAUAUUUAUACAUAGUAAUCUGAGUUGCAUAUCUUUUCAGUAAAACAAAAGCAAUCCUGUUGCACAUUGCAGACAUGUGUGACAAAAAUUGUGCUUCAUUGGCACUUCUGUCUAUUUUACUGUUAUCAGGAGUUUUGCACUGCAAACCGUAAAAGCACUUGGUUCAGGUUGCAAAGAAGUUGAGAGGAAAGCACUUCUUCAGUUCAGACAAAACCUUGCGGACCCUUCAGGCCGGCUCUCGUCUUGGGUUGGAGAAGAUUGCUGUAGAUGGAGAGGAGUAAGCUGCAACAACAGAACUGCAAGUGUCAUCAAGCUCAAACUCAACAACCCAUUUCGAGACAGUUUUGACGCAUAUGAAGAUGAUGCAGGACACGAAUUGGGUGGUCCGAUAAGUCCAUCUCUGCUUCAGUUGAAAGAUUUGAAAUACUUGGACUUAAGCAUGAAUAAUUUUAAAGGGUUCAAAGUUCCAGAAUUCAUUGGAUCACUAAAGGAACUGAGAUAUCUCAAUCUGUCAGGCUCAUUUUUCGGUGGGACUAUUCCUCAAAGUCUUGGAAAUCUCUCAAAUUUGCUUU
Molecule: long non-coding RNA, 9870 nt
Filed under: Citrus sinensis (sweet orange)
Lineage: Eukaryota; Viridiplantae; Streptophyta; Magnoliopsida; Sapindales; Rutaceae
Description: long non-coding RNA (CSIN_LNC000897)
Source: RNAcentral